Molecule: ribosomal RNA, 460 nt
Filed under: uncultured bacterium
Lineage: Bacteria
Description: partial 16S ribosomal RNA
Rfam family: Bacterial small subunit ribosomal RNA
Source: RNAcentral
CCUACGGGGGGCUGCAGUGAGGAAUAUUGGUCAAUGGGCGCGAGCCUGAACCAGCCAAGUAGCGUGAAGGAUGACUGCCCUACGGGUUGUAAACUUCUUUUAUAAAGGAAUAAAGUGAGGCACGUGUGCCUUUUUGUAUGUCCUUUAUGAAUAAGGAUCGGCUAACUCCGUGCCAGCAGCCGCGGUAAUACGGAGGAUCCGAGCGUUAUCCGGAUUUAUUGGGUUUAAAGGGAGCGUAGAUGGGUUGUUAAGUCAGUUGUGAAAGUUUGCGGCUUAACCGUAAAAUUGCAAUUGAUACUGGCAGCCUUGAGUACGGUUGAGGUAGGCGGAAUUCGUGGUGUAGCGGUGAAAUGCUUAGAUAUCACGAAGAACACCGAUUGCGAAGGCAGCCUACUAAAACACCACUGACAUUGAUGCUCGAAAGUGUGGGUAUCAAACAGGAUUAGAUACCCGAGUAGUC